RNAcentral lists this ribosomal RNA (253 nucleotides) under uncultured bacterium. Its description in RNAcentral is "partial 16S ribosomal RNA". It matches the Rfam family "Bacterial small subunit ribosomal RNA", at positions 524 to 776 of the family's 1533-position model. The record is from RNAcentral.
UACGUAGGGUGCGAGCGUUGUCCGGAAUUAUUGGGCGUAAAGAGCUCGUAGGCGGUCUGUUGCGUCGGCUGUGAAAACCCGGGGCUCAACCUCGGGUCUGCAGUCGAUACGAGCAAACUAGAGUGUUGCAGGGGAGACUGGAAUUCCUGGUGUAGCGGUGAAAUGCGCAGAUAUCAGGAGGAACACCGGUGGCGAAGGCGGGUCUCUGGGCAACAACUGACGCUGAGGAGCGAAAGCGUGGGGAGCGAACAGG